UACGGAGGGUGCGAGCGUUGUCCGGAAUCACUGGGCGUAAAGGGCGCGUAGGCGGCGCGGGGAGUCAACGGUGAAAGCUCGGCGCUCAACGCCGAGUCGGCCGUCGAUACUCCCGUGCUCGAGCACUGUAGAGGCAGGUGGAAUUCCGGGUGUAGCGGUGGAAUGCGUAGAGAUCCGGAAGAACACCGGUGGCGAAGGCGGCCUGCUGGGCAGUUGCUGACACUGAGGCGCGACAGCGUGGGGAGCAAACAGG
Molecule: ribosomal RNA, 253 nt
Filed under: uncultured bacterium
Lineage: Bacteria
Description: partial 16S ribosomal RNA
Rfam family: Bacterial small subunit ribosomal RNA
Source: RNAcentral